Molecule: long non-coding RNA, 1218 nt
Organism: Heterocephalus glaber (naked mole-rat)
Lineage: Eukaryota; Metazoa; Chordata; Mammalia; Rodentia; Bathyergidae
Source: RefSeq, a predicted model, not a curated record
CCCCCCAAGGUCAAAGGUCAGCGGGGCAGCCCAGGCUCGGAGCAGAAGCCGACCUUGUGUAACUGGAGACAGAAAAACCAGGGUAGGGAUGGGGGCAGGGACACGGAAACCUCUGCCAGGAGGCUUCAAGGAAGGGGUCGGCUGCAGGCUUCCGGCCAGGCAUCCCCAGCCUGGGCACCCCUCUAGCAGGGCAUCUCCAGCACCCGUACAGUACCCGGCAGCCCUAUCCCUGGCGCAGGCUGCCCCAGAGGUCUCCCAGAAGCCCAGCUGGGAGGUCCAACAGCCCCACUGGACUCUGGGACCCUGCCCUGGACUCCCAAACAGCACAGCCACUCGGUGGCUCACCCCAAGGCCAGAGGGCGGUCCCUCAGGCAGGGUUGCUCCUAUGACAUUGCGGCCACGGGCGGGUCUGGGUGCCCCCACCUCCUCCACUGCCUGCACUGUCUUGGCCCAGGACACCGCUGCCUUGGUCCCUGAAUUACCAGCCAUUUCUCCUCGCAAGGGCGGCCUGGGCUUAGCCACCCUUUGCUGGUGGACUCUACGUGAGGGAAAUGACUGUGACCCUGGAGAUGCCCCCAUCCCUCGCUCUGGAGUGGCAGCCGCUGCAUCCUGAGGACACCCAGGCAGUGCCACGGAAAUGCAUAUGGCGUGAAGGGAGGGAUCUGCCAUGUGCCCUGCUCAGCACAGAACCCAGCCCCAAGGAGGAAGCACCUCUCCUGCCGCACUCACCUUCUCCGACCCAUGCAAGAAGUCAUUGAGGGCCUGAGGGUCACUGGAAGAGAAGAGAGAGGGGCACUGAGGCGUAGAAGACACGUCGCCGUUAAUCCCCCUCGCCUGGAACACAUGGAUCCAUCGUUCUUGCCACAGUCGUGAAGCAGCUCUGCGGGCCUCUUUCAUGUCUUUACCACGUGUGGUCCCAACUGGGGUGAAUGCUGCCACCGAGUGCCACCCGGCGGAAAGGCAGGCGCAUGACAACACGACGCUGUGUCAUCUACCUCAUGCUCUCAAGCUGCCACCAGGUGACUUCCGGCUCGUCCCCAAACUCAAAAUGACAUGAAAGGGAAACGUUCUGAAUUGGUUCAGGACAGUGAGGCUGCCGUGGCAAGUGCAACCCACGACACUCAGGAAAGAAGACUCCAGAACGGCUGCAGAAAGCGACACGAAUGGUGGGACAAAUGUGGUCGAAGCAGGGGAUUAAAAUGGUGCCUAAAACAAGAA